UUGAGUGUAGUUUGCUAAUUAGCCCCACGUGUAUCCCGUAAAUUAAGCCUUACAGUCCAGUGGAAAUACAGGGAUUUUGUUAUUAGGAUUGAAAUCAAUGUAGGUAAUAUUAGUAAAAACAAGUGGAACACGUCGCCAAACUUGCUAUUGCGUAAAUACCAGCAAAGUCAACUUCGAAACCAGUCAAUAAAUGUCAGCUUAGCUGAGCGGAUGUUAUGCUAACAGUUAAAAGAAAUGCUGUUUGUUUCCCAAAACGACCUGCUUCCAAGAAAGAGCCAGACAGGACUGAAGCAUGAACCCUUCUAGCUGCUGUUUACACACAGGGUGUGAAUACAAGAGCCCAGCUGCUCCAAGAGUGUGGCCGGAGACAGUCAGCUGAGGCCAAAGGGGCCCUCGACUCCUCACCUGGCCAUUACAGUAUGAUUGUCUCUGUGCCUCUACCAGCUUCCUGUCUCCCUAAUCCUUAAUCCUGUGGAAAUCGGUCAGGCAGAAUGAGCCAGCUUUGAUCAGGCUCUCAUAUCAGGCGUGCUAACAGUGUCAGCACACCCGGAUCCCACAGAACCCUGGAGCCCGGGGGGAGAGCUUCAAACAGGCGUUCACCCCCUGACUCUGCUUGAGAGGAAGGGGAACGAGAGGCUGCAGAGUUCCUGUCUCAACUGCCAGCUCCAGACUCUGUCAGCAGCCUCUCUUUUUAAUUUCCCAAACACCCCGAUUUUUCAUCAUUUAUCUGUGAUGGCACCUCUGCUUUCGGGUAGGCUUUUUUCCGCAUGAGCUAAACUUGCUGUGGGAAAAGAGAUCAGAAGCUGGGGUAACACCAUUAGAGGUUGAGAACAGUGUACAGCACAGCGAUGUGAAAGUCACUUCUGGUUUUAUCAGAGGUGUCCUUGACAGUAAGCCUUGAUUCUGUGUUGCUGGGGUUUUGGUAUUGUGAUCCACGGCGCGCGAUGAUACCUGCCUGAGUGGGAGGCAUGUCACACAACACCUAGUAAUAUUGUGGCAUAAAUGCAUCAUGCUGGAAAUUAAGCUUGCACUAAAUGUCAGUUUUUCACAGAACAUCUAUCAAAGUCCAACAAAAAAAAAAAACACACGCUGAAUUGGGCCAAAGAAAUGUGUGCUUUUUCCCACAUUUGAAUCCAGACACCCUACCCUGAAGAGAUGUAUAGUCACUGCAUUACAUUAACAAACCUGCUGCCACACAGUAAAGGUUUAGAGGGAGAAACCUAUACUAAAUGCAUCAUGCAUACACUGACUUGGAAUGAAUGCCAUAAGGCAAGUACUGCAGGGGAACACAUAUCAGAAUAACCUGAUAUAUUAAUAAAUAUGCUCAUAGCACACAGAUGGUGCAGAUAUUAGUUGAAAGGUUAUUUUAUUGUUAGAUAAGAAACAUGUUAAAGACUCAUUCAAAGAGUAUACAACCUUACAGAACUAACAGCACAUUAACGGUUUUCAUUUCUCACAUCACAUGACCUGGAAGUUGGAAUUCUCUGAAGAUCUUCAACAAAUCUCACAGUACACUCAGCCCAUUUAUUAAAUCAGUUCAGAUGGGUAAUCAGAUCAUUUGAAUCUGCUAUAGAAAUGAAGUAUUUGCCUUGGCUGGUAUAUUUCUUAACUGGAGACAGACUAGUUCUCGUUAUAAUAUCUGUGUUCAUAAUCCUUGUCUAUAAAAUGUGCAAAGAAGAAGUGAUUGUAGCACCAAACAAGGGUUCAAACAAAAAGUUAAAUAGAGCAAGAAGGGUAAAGGUAUCUAAUCCGAAAUACCUGAUAAAUUGUUGGAAGAAUACAAAUGUUCCUAUUUUGUAGACUCUCUCUUUACAUUCUUGACUUCUGGUCUGCCCUUCUGUGUACGCCAUCCAGCCUUCUCCAAGUAAAGACUGACAUCUAGUGGCCCAUCUAGUAAUGUAUAUACUGCAAUGCUAAGAGGGAACAUUAAUAACUCAAUGCAUUUUUUUCAUUGCACAAAAAAGUAAAAUAAGGAAAAAAGAAUUAAAUACAUUCUACUUGUUUUUUAUUUUACCACAAAUCCCCAACAAAUUAAGAUAUUUUGUCUGAAUGUGCUAUACAAACUAAAGUAAAUGGAAAGGGAAAGACCCUGUUAUUUGUGCCAAAUGUAUCGACCUUGUUUUAGUCAGUUAUAAGUUGCUUGUAUAUUUACUUAACGAGCGCUACACCGCCAUGCUAAUGCUGAUUAUACUUAUCACAGAACAGUGAGCCAGCUCAUGUAAUCUUAUUUGAAUUUUUACAGCAUUCGUUAUUUACACUUGCACCUGUAGCUUUUAAGUACCUUACAUCAAUAUGAAAUCAGUGCAUGACAGAUUUAGUUUUUUAAAUGAAAGCCAUCCACUUGAAGUUAAUAAUCGAAACAUCCUGACAGCAAUCAAGACUUGAUUUACAACUGUCACACUAGCACUCAUUUAUCUUUGUGCAGUUGGAGCCAGAAACAGCAAACUGCAAACCUUCAGUCUUCACUGUUUGUUACUAUUAUCAGCUGAUGUUCAGACUAUCAGUCAUUUCCAAUGUGUAGCUGCCUGUUUUACGGAAAUACUCCUGCUUUUAAUAUUCCUUCCUGUAUUUCUGAAAUUCCUCUCUUUGUACAUUAAAUUUGACUUCCUUAGAAUGUAAAUAAAGACUUGA
Molecule: long non-coding RNA, 2631 nt
Organism: Eleginops maclovinus (Patagonian blennie)
Lineage: Eukaryota; Metazoa; Chordata; Actinopteri; Perciformes; Eleginopidae
Exons: 3
Source: RefSeq, a predicted model, not a curated record